UUUUGAAUAAUUUCUCCGAGUGAUCAGGGGAAAGUGUGCGUAGCUCGUAAACCUCCUCCCUGUUGGCUACAUCUCGAUUGCGAGUAGUUGUGAUUACUCUACUUCCAGUGUCAUUGUUAACCAAAGCUGAUUUGAUUAUGUUCCAAGUUGUUAUGUCCCAUACAUCGUCAAUAACGAUGAAGUACCUUGCAACAUGACAGUACAGAUCAAUACCCAGAGUUGAUAACCGUUGAGCAUGUAUAAAACCAAAGAAGAGUGAUAAAGUAUAGAAUACAAUCUUAAAAAUGCUAGCAAAAAUUUACUAAUGUAAUGUAUUUUAUUAUCUAAAAUCUACUCAAUAUUUAUGUUCUUGAUGUAAAUAUUGUAUUUUAUAAAGUAAACAUUAUCUUUAUAACAACAGGAGAGUUUUAUCUACAAUAGAGUCUCAUUCCUUAAAGUUCAAUUGUUUUAGUAUAAUGAUAGAUAGCAUAUCAGGGAGUAACUUUAAAUGUCUGCAUCCAAUAGAUAGCAUACCAAAGUCUACAUUGGAAAAGUCUAUGGCUAUGAUAUAGUUAAGGAAGCCUCCAAUUUGUGAAAGUUGUGCUCAACUAAAAAUUCAUAAGGAAACGGAAACAUUUUCAUAACUCUACAAUUUGUGUAAAGAUGAAGCGGAGAAACUACUAAUUUGAUGUGAUAUGCUUGUCAUCUAGCUAAGAGCAUUAAUAUAAGUGGCUACUAAUCAAUGCAUACCUCUUGUUUUGGAGGAAUUUUCGGAGUUCUCCAAUGAGCAGGGAUUGGUCCUUUACAUUAUGAAUGGCCGUGUAUUCGUUUUUGUCGAGAAGGUACAAUAUGUUGCUCAAG
This 840-nucleotide long non-coding RNA is filed under the name Setaria viridis. Its description in RNAcentral is "long non-coding RNA (SVIR_LNC009823)". Lineage: Eukaryota; Viridiplantae; Streptophyta; Magnoliopsida; Poales; Poaceae. The record is from RNAcentral.